This is a non-coding RNA of Macaca mulatta (Rhesus monkey), 432 nucleotides long. NCBI's taxonomy places the organism in Eukaryota, Metazoa, Chordata, Mammalia, Primates, Cercopithecidae. The record is from RefSeq and is a predicted model, not a curated record.
CUUGAAUAUUGUAAUGAAAUGUAGGAAUAAAUUUAACAUCCCCGAGAGAAGCAAUGGUCUCCUAUUCUAUAUACUUUCAGGCCCACUCUUAUAUUGUUAAUUUGUUUUUGGUCUCCAUAGAGGGCAGCCUAAGACAAAUUGCAUUUAAAGUGAAACAGGAGUGAUUUGGAAGACAUAGGGUAAAACUGGCUCAGAUGAAGAUUUUGAAACACUGUGGUGUAUUAUCUAGAAUGACUGAGAUUCCUUCCCUUGAGAACUUUGGCAAUGAAAUCGGAAUUGCAUGCCUGCAACAACAUGGGGGCGUUGCCACAGGAUGAAAGAUGUUACCAAUUUAGCCUGACGACCACUUCAAAGUCAAGAGGAGGAACAGAUGGGUUGGCAUUGGAAAAUUCUCCCACUUGCUUAAAUAAAAAUAACUCGUAAAAUACUAAA